CCUACGGGAGGCUGCAGUGAGGAAUAUUGGUCAAUGGACGAGAGUCUGAACCAGCCAAGUAGCGUGAAGGAUGACUGCCCUAUGGGUUGUAAACUUCUUUUAUAAAGGAAUAAAACGAGGCACGUGUGCCUUUUUGCAUGUACUUUAUGAAUAAGGAUCGGCUAACUCCGUGCCAGCAGCCGCGGUAAUACGGAGGAUCCGAGCGUUAUCCGGAUUUAUUGGGUUUAAAGGGAGCGUAGAUGGGUUGUUAAGUCAGUUGUGAAAGUUUGCGGCUCAACCGUAAAAUUGCAAUUGAUACUGGCAGUCGUGAGUACAGUUGAGGUAGGCGGAAUUCGUGGUGUAGCGGUGAAAUGCUUAGAUAUCACGAAGAACCCCGAUUGCGAAGGCAGCUUACUAAACUGUGACUGACAUUGAUGCUCGAAAGUGUGGGUAUCAAACAGGAUGAGAUACCCGAGUAGUC
Molecule: ribosomal RNA, 460 nt
Filed under: uncultured bacterium
Lineage: Bacteria
Description: partial 16S ribosomal RNA
Rfam family: Bacterial small subunit ribosomal RNA
Source: RNAcentral